GAUGAAGAACGCAGCGAAAUGCGAUACGUAAUGUGAAUUGCAGAAUUCAGUGAAUCAUCGAGUCUUUGAACGCACAUUGCGCCCCCUGGUAUUCCGGGGGGCAUGCCUGUCCGAGCGUCAUUGCUGCCUUCAAGCACGGCUUGUGUGUUGGGCCUCCGUCCUCCUCCCAGGGGACGGGCCCGAAAGGCAGCGGCGGCACCGCGUCCGGUCCUCGAGCGUAUGGGGCUUCGUCACCCGCUCUUGUAGGCCCGGCCGGCGCUUGCCGACACAUCAAUCUUUUUUCCAGGUUGACCUCGGAUCAGGUAGGGAUACCCGCUGAACUUAAGCAUAUCAAUAAGCGGAGGA
This 345-nucleotide unclassified non-coding RNA is filed under the name soil metagenome. Its description in RNAcentral is "partial contains 5.8S ribosomal RNA, internal transcribed spacer 2, and large subunit ribosomal RNA". The stretch from base 1 to 120 matches the Rfam family "5.8S ribosomal RNA", at positions 35 to 154 of the family's 154-position model. The record is from RNAcentral.